This is a long non-coding RNA of Mauremys mutica (yellowpond turtle), 321 nucleotides long. RefSeq lists it as uncharacterized. Lineage: Eukaryota; Metazoa; Chordata; Testudines; Geoemydidae. The transcript is spliced from 3 exons. The record is from RefSeq and is a predicted model, not a curated record.
CGGUAACAUUGCUUCAUUGCCACAGCAUAUGUUGAGUAGCUCCAAAGUACAGCAGAGCAAAUCUCUUGGAUGGAAUAACAUAAGUGAAAAGGAAAACUACCGGAAACUAGUAAGAUCCAGACUAACACGGCUACCCCUCUGAUACAUGGGCGGUAACAACGCUCAAGCGGGUAUCAAACAACCAUCAACAGCCAUUGUCCAACAAGGGAGCUACAAUUCAAUGCCUCGUCUGCAGAAGGUCACAUCAGAGGAAUUGCUCAACCUGGUGACUCAGCAAUGCCCAUCAUAUAUGCCUGGGCUUGUGUUCUCCAAGCACAUGGA